This is a small nucleolar RNA of Cricetulus griseus (Chinese hamster), 98 nucleotides long. NCBI's taxonomy places the organism in Eukaryota, Metazoa, Chordata, Mammalia, Rodentia, Cricetidae. The record is from Ensembl.
CUCCAUGUACUUUUGGGACCUGUUUGCUAUGGCAGUUUCCCUUCCUGGACAUGGAAAAGAAUAUUCUUAUUUAUUGGCACUCUGCAUAUGUAUUAUAU